This 374-nucleotide ribosomal RNA is filed under the name uncultured organism. RNAcentral describes it as "partial 16S ribosomal RNA". It matches the Rfam family "Bacterial small subunit ribosomal RNA", at positions 527 to 897 of the family's 1533-position model. The record is from RNAcentral.
GUAGGUGGCAAGCGUUGUCCGGAAUUAUUGGGCGUAAAGCGCGCGCAGGCGGUCCUUUAAGUCUGAUGUGAAAGCCCACGGGCUCAACCGUGGAGGGUCAUUGGAAACUGGGGGACUUGAGUACAGAAGAGGAAAGCGGAAUUCCGAGUGUAGCGGUGAAAUGCGUAGAGAUUUGGAGGAACACCAGUGGCGAAGGCGGCUUUCUGGUCUGUAACUGACGCUGAGGCGCGAAAGCGUGGGGAGCAAACAGGAUUAGAUACCCUGGUAGUCCACGCCGUAAACGAUGAGUGCUAAGUGUUAGGGGGUUUCCGCCCCUUAGUGCUGCAGCUAACGCAUUAAGCACUCCGCCUGGGGAGUACGGCCGCAAAGGCUGA